UACGUAGGGGGCAAGCGUUGUCCGGAUUUAUUGGGCGUAAAGAGCUCGUAGGCGGCUCACUAAGUCGGAUGUGAGAACUCCAGGCUCAACCUGGAGACGCCAUUCGAUACUGGUGUGGCUUGAGUUCGGUAGGGGAGCACGGAAUUCCUGGUGUAGCGGUGAAAUGCGUAGAUAUCAGGAGGAACACCGGUGGCGAAGGCGGCUCUCUGGACCACAACUGACGCUGAGGCGCGAAAGCUAGGGGAGCAAACAGG
RNAcentral lists this ribosomal RNA (254 nucleotides) under uncultured bacterium. Its description in RNAcentral is "partial 16S ribosomal RNA". It matches the Rfam family "Bacterial small subunit ribosomal RNA", at positions 524 to 776 of the family's 1533-position model. The record is from RNAcentral.